This 446-nucleotide unclassified non-coding RNA is filed under the name Hevea brasiliensis (rubber tree). Lineage: Eukaryota; Viridiplantae; Streptophyta; Magnoliopsida; Malpighiales; Euphorbiaceae. The record is from RNAcentral.
AAAAGUAAUGAUAUAUAAAAUGGGGGAACUAAUCACUAGAGGCGCCUUUUGGUGGAAUGGCCUAGAGAGUUGGAAGAACUCUAGGGGUUAACAUGCUCACUUAAGAGAAAUCCUAGGAUGGGUGACCUCCUGGGAAGUUCUCCAUUCCACCUAUGGGACAAAACUGUGAGGCUUAUGGCCAAAGCGGACAAUUCCUCUAGUGGUUAAAAGCAGAGCAUUACAGAUGGUAUCAGAGCUGGACCCCCUCCAGUAAAUGUAUGGUUCGAGGAUCAACCAGAUGGAAGCUGGUAAGCCUGUAACAUCCCGUGCGGCAAGAGAAAAUAAUCUGCGAUUGGAGGUGGGGCCUCGCUUGAGACCUUGACCAAAUGGGAGGCAGGAAUGAACCAAAUCAUACAUUGAAAUGGGAAAACCAAUCACUAGAGGCGCAUUUUGGUGGAAUGGCCUGG